This 83-nucleotide transfer RNA is filed under the name Bradyrhizobium diazoefficiens. RNAcentral's name for it is "tRNA-Phe". The record is from RNAcentral. Lineage: Bacteria; Pseudomonadati; Pseudomonadota; Alphaproteobacteria; Hyphomicrobiales; Nitrobacteraceae.
GCCGGUGUGGGAGCUGGUCAAGGCGAUCGCAUCGAAGCUGCUGCCGGCGCCGGUGCGCGAGGUUGCGAUUCUCGUCACCGGCU